This 19012-nucleotide long non-coding RNA is filed under the name Cicer arietinum (chickpea). Its description in RNAcentral is "long non-coding RNA (CARI_LNC002063)". Lineage: Eukaryota; Viridiplantae; Streptophyta; Magnoliopsida; Fabales; Fabaceae. The record is from RNAcentral.
GAAAAUAUAUAUAUAAAAAAGGAAAUAAAAAUAAUAUAGCUAAAAUUAAAAUUACAAUAAAUAAACUCAUUAUGUCUCAUCAAUUUACAAUGCCAAAUCUAUUUAUAGUUUUAAAACCAAAUCAAGUUACAAAUUAAAAAUUAAGUCAAAUUAGUUUACAAUAAAAAUUAAUACAAAUUAAAUCAAAUCAAGGCAGUUGUUCCAGCCUGUUUUGCAUUUGUUUUGUUCUCUAUUGUUGCCAUUGCUCACUGCGAAGCCUUGAUCUGUUGACGCUGACUACUAUUGAUGCACAAGCCAUGCUCAUUGUUACAUUUGUACCUGUUGUAACUAAUUAGAGAAAUAAAAAUAUUAAUUUAAGUCAGCCAUUGUACAUAUUAUACAUAGCAAAUAGAUGAACUUUUGAGUUUAAAAGAAAAAACUAAAAGACAAAUUAAAGCUGCAAAUGAAAAUGCUCAGCAAAUGAACAAAUCAAAACAAAUAAUCCAAAACCAUGAAUGCAACAGAGGUGCAGAAAAAAACUCAGAUGAUGAGCAAAAGAAAAGAAACAUCAAGCAAGGAAUUAGAAAGCUCAAACUCAAACAAAGACACAAACAAAGAAAACAACUAAAUAGAUAAAAGAACACUAUAAAUACAUCUUUAAAUUUCAUAAAGGAUCGAAGAUGAACAUUAACAAGAAAAAUACCUAAAACGAAGAAGAAGAAAACAUAGUAAUAGCAAAGAAAAACAAAUAGAAGACGAAGAAUUAAGGUAAAUUUUUUUUCUCUCUUUACAUUAUAAUUAAUUUAUAUAUAUAUAUAUAUAUAUAUAUAUAUAUACAUGUAUAUAUCUAUCGAUUUAAAAUAGAAAAAACAAGAUAACAUUUUAAAUGAAAAUAAAAAGUAAAGUCAGAAAUCACAAACCUUCAACGAGUGUCAACGCCGCCGCCACACUCUCCAAAUAGUCUGGUACGUUACAUUUGAUCCAAUCUCGAUUUGAGAGAGUUGGAGAUUGCAAGAAGAGGAGACGGCGGCGCCAGUGCGUGCUACAACGUUAGUAAGGGUUCUUGGUUGCGGUCUUCAUCUAGGUCCUCCAUGUUGGCCGUGGUAUUCAUCUACGACCUAUGUGUCUGCUUCUUGCAAGGCUUCUAUAUCUUUUCUUCUUCUUUUUCCAGCUGGUGCUUUAUGCGGCCGCCUCACUAGUUUGUAAUAUAGGGUUUUGUUUAGUUUGUGACCUAGGGUUUCUGUGACGUUUUUUAACCUAUUUUUUUUAAGUUGGGCCCAUGUUCUAAUAAAAACAAACAAAAAGCUGUUCAAGCUCAACCCAUUUUAAAUCUAUUCAUUUUUUUUUAAAAAAGGUUUAAUUUCCUUGAUAACUUAAUAUCAAUUUCAUCAUAAAAAAUACAAAUAAAUAUUAUAUUAAAGAUUAAUUAGAGGUGACAUCUUUUUAAUCUUUGAGUUGUUAGGACACAAGUGGUACAAUUUGAUAGUUCUAAAACUCUCUUUAUUUAUUUUUUUAAUGAGUUAAUCUAAAAUCAAUUUUUUUAAAUUUGAUUAAUUACAUGUAAUCUUUUUCUUAAUAUUUGAGUUGUUGAGACACAAGUUGUAGUGCUUGGUGAUUUUAAAACUCAAUUUUAAAAUUGAAAAAAUAUAAUACAUUCUUAGAAGAAUUAACUAGAUGAGACAUUUUUUUAUUUUGAGUUUUUGAGAUACGAGUUGUACAACUAGAUAGUCCUAAAACUAGCAUAAAAAAAUAUUUUUUUCAAGUCAAACAAUUUCAUUUUCUUUUCUCGUCAAAACAUUUUUUUAAAUAUAACAAAUCCAAUUUUCUUUAAAAAAAAAAAUCAACACAACCACAUUUUAUAACUAAGAUCUACGUAGCUUUGAUUUCUCUAUCGCACCGGGAGAUACGUAUGAGCAAUAUCACAUUCUUGUCAAGCACAUUAAUAAAAAUUUCUUUUUUUGUCAUUUAUUUUUUAAGCACACAUUUAUUCCCAAAUCAUAUUUAAGAAAAAUAAUAAUAAUUGUUAUUCAUAUUUAAUAAUAAUGAGAAAUAAAUAUGCUUAAGUUAAUAUUAAUCUUGCACAGAAUGUCAAAAGUCAUCCUCCAGAAGAGGACACAGAAAAGGAAAUCUUGAAAAUAGAGGUUAAAGAACUAAAAAAUGACAUUUCCAACUUUGUCAAAUCUACAUAAACAUUUCAAAAAAUAAUGGGAUCUCAAUCUGGAAUAUUUGACAAGGCUGAUAUUGGUUUUAAAAGUUCUCAAAAACAAAAAUUGUAUGAAAUUUUUUCUUGCCUAAAAAACAAAAGGAUAGGCCAAAAUGCACUUUUUGCAAAAAAAUUGGGCAUACUUUCAAGAUAUGUCAUGCUAAGAAGAAAACUGAAAAUAUAAAAAUCCUCACAAGAGGAAAAACUAACCAACAACGACCCAAUGCUAUAUGGGUACCCAAGUUACUUUAAACUCUAACACAGGUUCAUCCUCUGAUCAACAAAAGAAAGCCUUGAUACUUGGACAGUGGCUGCUCAAGGCAUAUGCCAAGGGAUAAGCACUACUUUAUUUCCUUGGAGAUAAAUGAUAGAGGACUUCUCUCUAAGGUACGCAAAAUUACGAUCCUCUGUGAUAAUGCUACUGCAAUAAAUCUUUGGAAAAAAUUUCCAUUCAACAGUCUAGAUCUAAGCACAUUGAAAUAAAACAUCAUUUUAUAAGAGAUCAUGUUCAAAAAGGGGAUAUUGAAUUAAUUUUCGUUGAUACUGAAAAUCAGUUGACUAAUAUUUUUACCAAACCUCUCCAAGAGGAUAGGUUCAAAAAUAUCUUGAAAAAACUCUCCAUCAUUAAUUUGCCCAAAAUUAUCUAAUUAAUUUUUAUUGUGUAGCAUUACUGUGUUUCUUUUCUUGUGAUGAUUUUUUUUAUUAAAAUCAAGUGAAAGAUCACAUGUGAUCUUUUGAAAAAGAAUUAUAGCAAAAGUUGUGAGGAUGGCAAAAACACCAGAGGACACACUAGCCAGUUUGGUGUAACUUCCUCUUGUCAUGUCAGACAAGAAAAUGCACGCGCCUCCUUUCAUUGGCCAACAUAUGUGGCGCUGCCUCCUUGGGUCUUGCUCUGCAUUUAAUGCGCAGACGGCUAUUUAUGACCGUCACAACCACUCACAUGCUCCUAGUCUCCCUACUCUAUCAUCAUUAAUACAUAUUAAAUGGCUUCAUCAUCUGCCUACUCAUCUUCCUCUAACGAUCACAACAUUUCAAAACUCCAACCUCCUCCUUCUCCAACUGUUACAUGUCCAACCUCUUCAGGAGGAACGUUUUGAUUUUUUUUUUUUUGAAAAAAAUAAAACUGUUUGUUGUUACCCGUGCAUCAAUCUCUGAAAAAUAUUGGUUAAUAAUUUAUUUCUCUUAUUUUUCCAUUUUUUUGAUGGUUGACAAAUUCAGGGGGAGAUAGAUUAUGAUCAUCCUGUUAUCAACUCUUUGUUUAAGAUAAUACUUUUUGAAACCACUAUUUCAAUCAUAUGUUAUGCUUGUUAAUGUUUAUGGCAUUUUGAACCAUCUUUUGUAAUAUUUAUCUCAUUUAUGUGAAAUCUCUUUAUGGUUCAAUUUCAUUAUUUCAAAACUUUGGCAUAUGUUCAGGGGGAGUAAUUAUUUUUAAUUUUAAAAAUUAUUACACAUAAUUUAGGGGGAGCAUAAACAUUUUAUCUCAUGAACUUGUCUUAUUUAAAAUCAUAAUCUAAAGAAUUUUGUCAUCAUAAAAAAGGGGGAAAUUGUUGAGACAAAAUCUCUCAAAUGAUUUUAAUGAUAACAAAAUUACUUAAGAGAUUGUGAUUGUGGUUACUAAAUAAUCUGUGCUUUUGAGUGAAUUCAUAUAAAAAAAUAGGUUAUUAAUCAUUAAGGCAAAAAGGAUAAAAAUCUGAUACAAAUCUGGAGGAUUAAAAUUCCUGAGGAUGGCCUCGUGAAGAGGAUGAAGCUUCAAAUCUGCAUAAUACUUGUUCUCUCCAGACCAAAUGUUUUUAUUCAUUAAAGAAAUGCACAAUAGUAUCAAAGAAUGAAUAAAUAAAGCAUUUGACAUAAAGAAGUUAGAAUACCAAAGGAAAAGACGAGAAUGGCUAGAUCUAGACUAGAGGAUGACAAUGCUAGGCUGGAGGAUGGUUCAGUAAAGUUGAAAGCAACCCAUCAAACAUGUGCAAAGGCUAAAAUCAGACCAUUUAUUGUGCUUGCACGAAUGAAUACAUGAAGAAGUCAAGUUACAGAAAGGCAACAACAAACAAGCCAAAAAUGGAACACUUCACAUGUUAAAAGCAGAUUCAAUCCUUGGACUUGAGGAUGGCAGUCCUAUGUAAGAGGGUGGCUCUCUUUCUUAUCAACAUCACUCUCAAAAGUUAAAAUCAACCUAGUCCUUAAAGUUUCUGAAAAGGUUGUUGAUCACAUAGUCAAAGAAAUAGCCUUACACUCUUUGAAGAAAGAGAAUAGAAAAGGACAUCUCAAGAUCAAGUUUCAAGGAUGCUGAUCUUCAUGCGCAAGGAUGGCCUCUGCCAGUCCAAGAAUAGCUGGAUGGCAGUUCUGUAAAUAUGAUGAAAGACCUUGGAUCUUUUGUAAUGAAUUCCAAUGGUCAUCAAGAGCUUGGCACAUGAAAGGAAUAUCAUAAGACUUCUAUAAAAUGCAGCAAGCUCUUCAUCAUUAAACACACAACAAUAUUGCAUAAAAAGAUCAAGUAUCUUAAAGCUAUCAAGAGCAAUACCCAUCCUCUCUUCAUACUUUCUUCAAUCCUACAUUAGAUCUUUGUAAAUCCUUUAAGAAAGUAUUUAGAAUCAAUCACUCUCAUAUCACUUUGUAAUUUCCACGUGAGAUACACUUGGAAAUAGUUGAAACUUGAUUGUAAACUUGGUGAGGCUAAAGACUACACAAAGUGUAAUCACCCUCUGUGAGAGGUUGAUGAGUUUGAACAUUAGUGAAAUCUCACCAGUAUACAAGUUGUGUGUGUCAUUCUUUACAUUCUCUCCUUUUUUUGCUCAGCUUUAAUUUAAAGGUUUGAAUAACCAUCCUCGGUUCUGCGAUCCUCUCUGAGAGGAUAGUUUUUAAAACACGUGAAAAUUAUUUUUAAACAGCAAAAUCCCUAUUCAACCCCCUUCUAGUGAUAUUUAGCUACAUCAUUAUUAUCAUUAUGGAGUUAUUGAAUCAUACUUAUUCCACACCCUACACUUUUACUAAGACACACACUUAUGAGUGGAACCUUAUACCCGGGUUUGAACAAAACUUAAGUUUAGUUUCGAGGUAGUGUAGUGGUAGCCUUCUGGAUGUACAUCCUGUUUGGUUAGCAUGAAAAUCUCACCUAGAGUUUGAUCUUGUUGAGAGUAUUGUCACUCCAAAUAGUUUACCUAUUAUUGUUGACAAUAUUCUAAAAUAGGAUUACUGGCUCUAGGAACCCUGUUUAGAACUAUAGAGCCACCACUGUGAGAGUUUCACUACAUAAGCCAAUAGACCCUUUUUCAUCAUAAGAAUAUCCAUACAAGCAAAAAAAAAAAAAAAUACCUCAUACAUUCAUUCAAAAUGUUAUAUAUUCACAACAAUCAUUCUACAUAAUUGCAUUCAUAUCUCAUGACAUUGUUUCUUUUGAAAAAUGAAUUGGCAUUUUGCAUCAAUUUUUAGGAUUGUUGGGAAAUCAUAAGAACCUUAGUCACAUGUUAAAUUAAAGUGGAAAAUGGGAUCGAAAAAAAGAAAAAUUUUACUUUUAAAGUUCAUGUAACCUGAUUUGAAAAUUUUAAGAGACAUCUGCAAUCAAAUAAAAACUAUACAACGUGAGAGUUUCUUUUGCAAAUAUGAGAAGAUCCUAAAUCUUUUGGAAGUGAAUGUGCAAACAGUGGCCCUCAUGACAUUGGCUCAGUAUUACGACCCUCUAUUAAGACAUUUCACCUUUCAAGAAUUUUAGUUGGCCCUAACAUUAGAGGAAUUUGAAUGAAUAUUGGGUUACUCGCUAGAGAAACGAAAUCCUUAUCGAUAUACUGGGCAACCACUGAGUUUGGGCGCAAUUUCUGAACUGUUGAAAGUUGACAUAAGAGAGUUGACAAGUACAAAAGAGGAAAAAUGAGUCAUUCAUGAGUUUUCAAGAAAAUAUCUAGAGCAAAAGUGCCAGGAUUUAGCCGUUAAAAAAGAAUGGAGUACUGUUAUAGAUGUUUUGGCUCUGGUUAUCUAUGGUAUUGUUUUAUUCCCAAACCUUGAUAAUUUUGUAGAUUUUGCUACCAUCAAUGUCUUCUUAGCUUUUAACAAACAUAAACAAAAUCCAAUUCCCGCGAUUCUUGUUGAUGUAUACUACUCUCUGCAUAUGCGACAUGAGAAGAGAAUGGGAACAAUUUUGUGUUGUGUUCCAGUAUUGUACACUUGGUUCACGUCUCAUAUAUUCAAGAAAGAGUAUCAUGUUGGAAUUAAAAAUAAUCGUGAAUGGGCUCAAAGUAUAGCUAGCCUUAAUGGGGACACAAUUUCAUGGUAUCAUAGAGAACAAGGGAUUGAGGAAGUAAUAUGUCAAUGCAGAGAUUUCCCAAAUGUACCUCUCAUGAGAACCAAAGAAUGUAUUAAUUACAAUCCGAUGGUAACUCGGAGAUAGUUUGGCUACCCUAUGUUGGAAAAACCAAAUGAUAAGUCGUUGGAAGCUUUUGUUUUGCGCAAUACGGGUAUAAUAGACCCACAAAUGCUGCGAAGGAUAAGUCAAGCUUGGGAAAUGGUCAUUAGAAAAGGAAAAGUACUCAGAUGCAGAAGUUGCAGCACAAAAGAACCCUAUCAACAAUGGAUAAAGAACAGAGUCUAAGAAAUUAAGUUGCCUUUCCAUAGUACACCCUUGAGUGAUCAGGAAAUACCCGAACCUCCCUUUGUUGCCAAUGAAGAAGUACAAGAACUCAAAGCAUCAUUGUUAAAAUAUGAAGAGGAGAAAAAAGAGCUACAAUUGAAGUUUGAAAAAUUCUCCCAAGAGAAUGAGAACUUACGAUCAGAAAACACAUGUAAGAGUUAGUUUAUUGAAAGAAGCAACAAGAGGCUGAAAAUUGAAAAAGAAAAUAAACUUGACAUACAAGAUUGUUUAAGAGGUGCAAUUGAAGAGUUAGAUAUGUGAAAACAAGAAAAGAAUGCAGCUGUUGAAGAUGCCUAUAUGUGGAAGAAGUUGUGGACAAAUCAGCAAGCUCUGAGAAGAACAUAAAAAAAGAGUAUGAAGAUUAGUUUUAAAAAACAACUGAAAGAAAUAGUAGCUGAGUAUGAGAGUCGAGUAAGGAAUGAGAGGCAACACAAAGAAGAAAUUGAACAAUUUCUCUCAAAAUAUCAAGACGAACUAAGAAUAGAAAUGGAUAAUUCUAGUGAGUUGAAGAAUUACAUUGAUUACCAAGAUAAGAUCUAUAAUGACCUAAAGGACGAAACCAUAUAUUGGGAGGAUCGUUUUAUGAUGUUGCUAGGUCAAUUGAAGAAUCAAGAGAUAUAUAAAGAGCUGGAAGAUAAAGGAAGACAUUGGAAAUACUGCUUUUCAAAAUUGGAAAUGUUAGCUAAUCAAGCAAUCAUAAAAAUUCCAAAGCAUCUAAGAGAGAUUGAUGUGAUAAUGCAUUCGUUGAAUACUCCAAUCAAAGUCUAUAAGUUCGUUGAAUAUUGUAAAACUUUGGUAGAAGAAUUGGAGGAGAUGAUUGGUUGUCCUAUUAAAAGAGAAGAUUGAAAUCCCAUAGUCAUCGUAGUUUUUAAUUUAAAUGUGAUUUACUUUUUUCUCAUCAAUGAAGGAUUUGCUAUUUCGAUUUUCGACUCCCAUAUUUUCUUCACUAAUAAUUCGUUCUUGUUAAAAAAAUUACAUAAGACUUAUGAUUCCCCAACAUCCAACUAUCAUAAUUAACUAAUUGAUUUCAUCUUCAUUCAUAUUUUAAUACAUACUCAUAGAAAUUUUAUUUAUUUAUUUAAAAAAAAACAGAAAAAAAUUAAUAAAGUUGUUUCCCAAACACCCUUAUCGGACUCGCGUAAACUCCAAGAUCAUGGAUGAACUCGAGCAAAACCAAGAAGUGAUAAGAGCAGAUGUUAACCAAUUGAAGGACAAGGUUGAUCGAAUCCUGGAAGCUAUACAUGCUUUGGCAAGGAAGAAGAAUACAUAUGGGGAUCCUCCAACUGCAAAUGAAGAACACUAAACCACUCAUUCUCACCCACCGGGUUUUACUCUGACUAACCAACAGUUUCGCACAACAGCUAUGCAAUUUCCUAUAUAUGGUUUCCCACCUGGUUAUACUCCGCCUUUAGUCAUCAACCUCAUGGACAAUAACAAAAACCACUCAGCUAUCAACCCCCAAAACCUAAACCAAUCACAAAUCCCAUCUCAUCUGGGUUACGGGUCACCCCAAAACACUAUACCCCCAGAAAAUAUCCCAUAUAGUGCACCCCAAGUACCGCAUUUUGAUGCUAACGAGAAUUGGAAACAACCUGAUGUUGGGGAUGAUACACAAUCAAAAUAGAAAUUCCAUGUUUUAGAAGAGCGAAUAAAAGCAAUUGAAGGGCAUAAUGUAUAUAGUCUCGAAGCUUUUGAUAUGUGUUUGGUUCCUGAUGUGACUAUCCCUCCAAAAUUCAAGGUUCAUGAGUUUGGAAAAUACAAAGGCACCACAUGUCCUAAAAAUCAUCUGACUAUGUAUUGUAGAAAAAUGGCUUCUCAUGCUCAUAACGACAAACUUCUCAUUCAGUUUUUCCAAGACAGUUUGAGCGGGGAAUCGUUAAGUUGGUAUAUGCAUCUUGAGCGAAAUUGAAUUCGUUCGUGGAAAGACUUGGCUAAUGCCUUCUUGAGGCAAUACAAGUACAACAUUGACAUGACCCUUGAUAGGAUGCAAUUGCAAAAUUCAUUGAAAAAGGACAACGAAACUUUAAAAGAAUAUGCACAAUGAUGGAGAGAAGUGGCAUCACAAGUAAAACCUCCUUUAUCAGAAAUAGAAAUGGUUGGUAUGUUUAUGGAUACUCUCCAGUCGCCUUUUUAUGAUAAAAUGAUUGGGAGAGUGUCAUCAAACUUUUCUGACCUGAUCAUGAUAGGAGAAAUGAUUGAAAGUGGGAUGUGGAGUGGCAAGAUUGUAUGUGCAGCAAUUGGCAUGAAGAGAACCUAAACAACAUUCACAAAAGAGAAAGGAUGGGAUGUUAAUGCUGUAAUGGCAAAUCCAAUGCUCUCUUAUUCUUCAGUUAUGAAUUCUUAUCAACCUCCAAAUUUCCAACCCGAGACACCUCAAGCUCCUUACAUUCCAUAUCCAUAUGUGGCUACAACCUCACAAGCUUCCCCUGAAAAUUACCAAUCAUGACCACCUUUUUAUCAACCAUCCCUGGUCCAACCACCACCUAUCACAUUUUCCCAAAAAAACCAAUGGAACCAAAAUCCAAUACCGAAUCACUACAAACCACCAGUUAACUGAGAAAAGAAGAUAACUCGUUUUGACCCGAUUCUCGUGACAUACAAUCAAUUGUUGCCUCACCUAUUCCAAAAUUCAAUGGUAGUCCUGAGGCCAAUGAAACCUCUGGAACCACAAUUCCCGAAAUGGUAUAACCCCAACGCCAAAUGUGAAUACCAUGCAGGAGCUGUAGGGCAUUCUGUCAAAGAUUGUCAAGCCUUAAAAUCUAAAGUGCAAGAACUGAUUAAUGCAAAAUGGCUUAUCGUAAAGGAAGACGGUCCCAACAUAGGGGGUAAUCCUUUGUCAGGCCACAGAGAUGCUGAUGUCAAUCUCAUUGAAGAAGAGAUAUACCAAUACACAAAAGAUGAUCAUGUAUCGACCAUAGAACCGUGCAUGGAAAAUAAUAUAUAUUUCCCAAGACCAUUGAAAAUCCUCUAUAGAAAAGAGAAUCCUAAGCCAACUCAUAGUGGGAAAAAUUCAAUAAUUGUUCAAGCACCAACCUCUUUUACUUAUGAAAAUAACAAGGCUGUACCAUGGAGUUAUGAAGUCACAUUCCAUUUAGUCAAUCAUCAAUCAUGCGAUAACUUUAAACCUCAAGGUACUGAUGUCACCAAUAUUUCAGGGAUUGAAGGGAUGACCCGGAGUGGUCGAGUAUACACUCCUGAACAACUUAGGAAAAAGGAAGGCCAUGGAGAAAAAAGGAAAGAGGUUGUGUAUCAUGCCAUAAAAAGGAUCAGAAACUUGCAAAAAGACAGUGCCUGAAGAAGAAGCUAAUGAAUUUUUGAAGUUUAUCAAGCUAAGUGAGUAAAAGGUGGUAGAUCAACUAAGUCAAACCCUUUCCAAGAUAUAUGUUCUUUCUUUGUUAUUAAACUCUGAAGCGUAUAGAAGGGCACUGAUGAAACUUUUAAACGAGGCCCAUGUUCAUAUGAUAUCACUGUCGACCAGUUUGAUGGAGUUGUCGAUAAUAUCACCGCCAAUAACGAGUUGAGUUUUAGCGAUGAUGAAUUACCAGCUGAGGGAAUAAAGCAUAAUAAAGCACUACACAUCUCUGUGAGGUGUCAUGAUCAUAUUCUUGCACGAGUGUUAGUUGAUAACGGUUCAUCGUUAAAUGUCAGGCCAAAAUCAACACUAUCAAAAAUAUUUGUUGAUGGUACUUGUUUGAAGUCGAGUGCUAUGGUGGUGAAAGCGUUUGAUGAAUCCAAAAGACAAGUUGUUGGUGAGAUUGACCUAUCAUUUAAAUCGGACCCCAUAACUUUGGAAUAACCUUUCAAGUGAUGGAUAUUAAGUCGGGGUACAGUUGCCUUUUAGGGAGACUGUGGAUUCACGCUGCUGGAGCAAUGACAUCAACCCUCUAUCAAAAGUUAAAGUUUAUAGUGAACCAUAAGCUAGUGAUAAUAUCUGGGGAAGAAGAGUCAUCUAUCUUCUAUGGGUUACAUUGAAGACACGGAGGAAGCCAUAAAGACUUGCUUCCAAGCAUUAGAAAUCGCCAAUGUUAUCUUCAUGGGUGAAGGAUUUCGCUUAAAGGAACCAAAACUAUCUACCACAUCAUUGAAGUCUACAAAAUCCAUGUUGGAAGGAGGAGCUUUAUUUAAAUUUGGGAAAUUGAUAGAAAUACAAAAAAAAAAAAAGGAUAGGUAUGGGUUGAGAUAUGUACCUAUCAAAGCUGAUUAAGAGAAUAUUGUGAAGGAAAAAAGAGAAAGCAGGAUGGCUCGUUGGGAAAAUCGAGUACCAAAUUAAAAAAAGAUUCCUAUUUGUGACAUUUACCAAACCUUUCAGAGCACCAAAAUAAUAUAUGCUGAUGAUGUGGCUGUUGUGGAAGAGGAUCAUGUUGAUGAUGACACCCUUAAAUUUGUGUACCCUUGUCCUCCAAACACCACUCUCAACAAUUGGAAGAUCAUCGAGUUUCUCGUGUUUGUUAAUUCAUGUUCAAAGUAAUUGUGUAUUUUAACUUCUUUUGCUCUGCCUAAGGCUAUAAGGAUAACUAAUAGGACGCAUGUAUUUCAAUUUCGCACUUAUUAUCAAUAAAUGCAUUUUUGAAUUCUCUAGUUGUUUUUGUUUUUCUCUUUUCUUUUUUUAGCAAUCUUUAUUCAUAUUUUCUUUUUUCCUUUUCCUCUUAAUUUAAAUAAUGCAGAGAUGAAAAUGAAUAUGUUGACAAUAACAAUGCUAGAAACCCUUCUUGUAAUUUGGAACGCCCAAUUAAUCACGCUAAUAAGGAUUGUGAAGACAAUUGUGAGCCUCCCCCAUAACUAGAAAGGUUAAUUGAAUAGGAAGCUAAAAUAAUCCAACCCUAUCAAGAACCUGUUGAGGUGAUCAAUUUAGGGACUGAACAUGAUAAGAAAGAAAGUGAACAAGAAAAACUAGUUAAACUUUUAUUUGAUUAUGUAGAUGUCUUUGCAUGGUCAUAUCAGGAUAUAACUGGGUUAGAUACUAACAUUGUUGAACACAAGCUACCACUCAAGCUUGAAUGUGCUCCAACAAAAAAAAAAAUUGAGGAGAAUGAGGUUUGAUAUGUCACUUAAAAGUAUAGAAGAGGUCAAAAAACAAUUUGAUGUUGGUUUCUUAGCAGUAGCAAAAUAUCCUCAAUGGGUUGCUAAUAUUGUCACAGUUCCAAAAAAGGAUGAAAAUGUUCGAAUGUGCAUUGAUUAUCGGGAUUUAAAUAAAGCUAGUCCUAAAGAUGAUUUUCCUUUGCCUCACAUUGAUGUCCUAGUAGAUAACACUGUUCAAUAUUCUAUUUUCUCUUUUAUGGAUGGUUUCUCAAGGUAUAAUCAAAUCAAGAUGGCUCCCGAAGAUAUGGAGAAAACUACAUUCAUCACACAAUGAGGGGUUUUCUGUUAUAAAGUGAUCCAUUUGGAGUAAAGAAUGUCGGGGAAACCUAUCAAAGAGCAAUGGUAACUUUGUUUCAUGACAUGAUGCAUAAGGAAAUAGAGGUUUACGUGGACAAUAUGAUUGCAAAAUCUCGGACCGAAGAAGACCAUGUUAUUAACCUUCAAAAGUUGUUUGUGCGAUUAAGGAAGUUCAAACUCUAUUUAGACCCUGCUAAAUGCACUUUUGGUGUAGGAUCAGGUAAGUUACUUAGGUUUAUCGUUAGUGAAAAAGGGAUAGAAGUGGACCCAGAUAAAGUAAGAGCAAUACAAGAAAUGCCCGCUCCACGCACUAAAAAAGAAGUUUGUGGCUUUUUGGGUAGAUUGAAUUACAUUGUCAGGUUCAUAUCGCAUCUCACUGCUACGUGUGAGGCAAUUUUCAAGUUGUUGCACAAAGACCAAAAGGUUGAGUGAAAUGAGAAUUGUCAAAAAGCUUUCGAAAAGAUUAAGUUGUACUUGUCAAAUCCUCCAAUCUUAGUGCCUCCUAUUCCUGGGAAACCGCUUAUUAUGUACUUGACAAUACUUGAUGAGUCAAUGGGUUAUGUACUAGGGCAACAUGAUGAAUUUGGUAGGAAAGAACAUGUUAUUUAUUAUUUGAGUAAAAUGUUCACCAACUCUGAAACAAGGUAUUCACUGCUUGAACGAACAUGUUGUGCAUUAACAUGGGCUACUCGUCGGUCAAGAACCUGUUGAGGUGAUCAAUUUAGGGACUGAACAUGAUAAGAAAGAAAGUGAACAAGAAAAACUAGUUAAACUUUUAUUUGAUUAUGUAGAUGUCUUUGCAUGGUCAUAUCAGGAUAUAACUGGGUUAGAUACUAACAUUGUUGAACACAAGCUACCACUCAAGCUUGAAUGUGCUCCAACAAAAAAAAAAAUUGAGGAGAAUGAGGUUUGAUAUGUCACUUAAAAGUAUAGAAGAGGUCAAAAAACAAUUUGAUGUUGGUUUCUUAGCAGUAGCAAAAUAUCCUCAAUGGGUUGCUAAUAUUGUCACAGUUCCAAAAAAGGAUGAAAAUGUUCGAAUGUGCAUUGAUUAUCGGGAUUUAAAUAAAGCUAGUCCUAAAGAUGAUUUUCCUUUGCCUCACAUUGAUGUCCUAGUAGAUAACACUGUUCAAUAUUCUAUUUUCUCUUUUAUGGAUGGUUUCUCAAGGUAUAAUCAAAUCAAGAUGGCUCCCGAAGAUAUGGAGAAAACUACAUUCAUCACACAAUGAGGGGUUUUCUGUUAUAAAGUGAUCCAUUUGGAGUAAAGAAUGUCGGGGAAACCUAUCAAAGAGCAAUGGUAACUUUGUUUCAUGACAUGAUGCAUAAGGAAAUAGAGGUUUACGUGGACAAUAUGAUUGCAAAAUCUCGGACCGAAGAAGACCAUGUUAUUAACCUUCAAAAGUUGUUUGUGCGAUUAAGGAAGUUCAAACUCUAUUUAGACCCUGCUAAAUGCACUUUUGGUGUAGGAUCAGGUAAGUUACUUAGGUUUAUCGUUAGUGAAAAAGGGAUAGAAGUGGACCCAGAUAAAGUAAGAGCAAUACAAGAAAUGCCCGCUCCACGCACUAAAAAAGAAGUUUGUGGCUUUUUGGGUAGAUUGAAUUACAUUGUCAGGUUCAUAUCGCAUCUCACUGCUACGUGUGAGGCAAUUUUCAAGUUGUUGCACAAAGACCAAAAGGUUGAGUGAAAUGAGAAUUGUCAAAAAGCUUUCGAAAAGAUUAAGUUGUACUUGUCAAAUCCUCCAAUCUUAGUGCCUCCUAUUCCUGGGAAACCGCUUAUUAUGUACUUGACAAUACUUGAUGAGUCAAUGGGUUAUGUACUAGGGCAACAUGAUGAAUUUGGUAGGAAAGAACAUGUUAUUUAUUAUUUGAGUAAAAUGUUCACCAACUCUGAAACAAGGUAUUCACUGCUUGAACGAACAUGUUGUGCAUUAACAUGGGCUACUCGUCGGUUGAGGCAAUACAUGUUAUGUCAUACAAUUUGGUUGGUGUCUAAAAUGGACCCAAUUAAGUAUAUUUUUAAGAAACCUGCUCUUACUGGAAGGAUUGCUCGUUGGAAGAUGUUGUUAUCAGAAUACGACUUGGUGUAUGUUAUACAAAAGGCUAUCAAAGGAAGCGCAUUAGCAAAGUAUUUGGCCCAACAACCUGUAGAAGAUUAUCAAUCGAUGCAAUGUGAAUUCCCGAAUGUAGGUAUAAUGACUCUAUUUGAAGAUACUGAAUCAUCUGAUAAAGGAAAAUGGACGUUGGUGUUUGAUGGUGCUUCUAAUGCAUUAGGGCAUGGAAUUGGAGCCAUUUUGAUUUCCCUAGAGAACUAGUUCACUCCAUUUACGGCUAGAUUGUGGUUUGAUUGCAUAAAUAAUAUUGCAGAAUAUGAGACAUGUGUCAUGGGCAUUAAAACAUCCAUUGAAUCAAAUAUAAAAGUUCUUGAGGUAUAUGGAGACUCAUCUUUGGUCAUCCAUCAAACAAAAGGAGAGGGCAAAACUCGAGAUUCCAUAUUUAUUCUGUAUCAUACGCAUAUGAAAGAAUUAAUAAAACACUUCGAGCAUAUCACUUUACAUCAUAUUCCUCGAAAAGAAAACCAAUUGGCUGACGCCCUGGCCACAUUGUCAUCAAUGUUCAAAAUAAGCGUCGGUCAGGAUGUGCCGGUCAUUUAAAUUCAGCAAAGGGACAAACCUGCAUAUUGCUUAUCAAUAGAAGAAGAGCUUGAUAGAAAGCCAUGGUUUUAUGAUAUCAAAUCCUAUGUUAAGAAUAGGGAAUAUCCAUAAGGUAUUUCAGAGAACGACAAAAGGGUUUUAAGGAGGUUGUCAAUGAACUUCUUCUUAAAUGGUGAUGUGCUUUAUAAGAGAAAUCAUGAUAUGGUUCUCCUCAGAUGUGUGGAUCUAGCAGAAGUAGAGAAAAUUAUUCAAGAGGUUCACGAAUGUUCUUUUGGAACUCAUGCAAAUAGACACGUAAUGGCAAGAAAAAUCUUAAGGGCUGGCUAUUUUUGGUUGACUAUGGAAUCUGAUUGCUUUAGUUACGUAAAGAAAUGUCAUAAAUGUCAAAUCUAUGCUAAUAAAGUACAUGUACCACCCACCUCUGUGAACACUUUAACAUCACCAUGUUCAUUUUCAAUGUGGGGGAUGAAUGUUAUUGGACUCAUCGAGCCUAAAGCUUCAAAUGGGCAUAGCUAUUGAUUAUUUCAUAAAAUGGGUUGAAGCCGCUUCUUAUGCCAAUGUGACGAGAAGUGUGGUUGUCAAAUUCAUCAAAAGAGAAUUGAUUUUUCGAUAUAGAUUACCAAAUAAGAUAAUCACUGACAAUGCGACCAAUGUGAAUAAUAAAAUGAUGAAGGAGUUGUGUGAUAAUUUCAAAAUUCAACACCAUAAUUCUUUGCCAUAUCGUCAAAAAAUGAAUGGGGCUGUAGAAGCUACAAAUAAGAAUAUCAAGAAGAUCAUACAAAAGAUGGUGGAGACAUAUAAGGAUUGGCAUGCAAUGCUUCCCUUUGCAUUACAUGGCUAUAGAACCGCUAUUCGUACCUCAACAGGGGUAACUCCUUUCUCAUUGGUGUAUGGAAUUGAAGCGGUAAUUCUCAUUGAAGUUGAAAUUCCCUCGAUAAGAGUCUUGAUGGAAACAAAACUGGAAGAGGCUGAGUGGGUUCAAUCACGAUUAGACCAAUUAAAUGUCAUAAAAGAAAAAAAGAAUGAUAGCUCUAUGCCACGACCAGCUAUAUAAAAAAAACUUAAAAAGGCAUACGAUAAAAAAGUCCGUCCUCGAGAGUUUCAAGAAUGGGACUUGGUGUUAAAUAAAAUAUUGCCCAUAAAAAAAGAUGCUCGUGGAAAAUGGACCCCGAAUUACGAAGGACCAUACGUUGUGAAAAAGCUUUCUCUGGGGGAGCUCUAAUACUCGCAGAAAUGGAUGGAGAAGACCUUCCACUUCCAAUAAAGUCAGAUGCAGUAAAAAAAUAUUAUGUUUAAAAAAAAUGAUCAAAAAAUGGGCUCGCUAGGUUGAAAACCUGAAAAGGCGACCUAGGGAAAAAUUAGAGCAUCCCGAUGGAUUGGAAACUUUGAAGAAUGGUCCAUGCAAAAGUUAGGGAUAAAAAAAAAUCAAGCGCUUUAAAUUGGGGCAAUUAUUAUUCUUGCAAGCUGACUAAUAGGAGUCUUAAAUUACAAGAAUGACUAGAGUUUGUAAUGUCUCCACCUAAAGUUAAACAUACUCGUCCCCACAUGUAACCCUUACUUCAAUUGUUUUGCUUUAAAUGUAACGAAUGUACAUUUUCCAAUAUUGUCAUUCGAUGUUGUACGUUACACUCUUUAUAAACCAAUCCAGUUUCAUUAUUGAUUGUUCUAGUGUUUCAAAAUGUUGUUUUAUGAUAAUAGAUGUUGGAAUUUGAAAUAUGUGAAAAUAUAAAAGUAUUUUAAAUAUUUUGGCACUUGAAAAACAAAUAGAAAUCGAUAGAUUCUCAACAUGUAUGGGUGCAUAUAAGAAAAAUGAAGAAUAAUCAUUUUAAACAAUGGACUUGGUUUUACCUCGAAAAAAGGGGGGGCUUCACAUGAGACAUACUAGAGUCCUCACACAAAAAAUGGUUGUUAUCUUCAUUCAUCAAUUAAAUCUUGUAGACGUAGAAGAUAAUAAGGAUCGAGGAAUCAAAGAAAUGAACAAGAAUUGAUCAUUAAUUCAUGACACACAUAAAUCAUGCAUAAUUUACUCAUACUCACAUGAUCCAUGCAUUUUCAUUCACACUUUACCUAUACUCAACAACCUUUCAUAAUGCAUAACACACGCAUGAAUCAUUCAUACCUUAUAUUUAUACUUUAUUUAUAUUCAACAACCAUUAACGUUCACAUUGCAAGUAUCAUAUACUUAUUCGCCCUCUCAUCUAUUUCCAAGAUUGGACCAACUACCUUUGUUCAUUUCUGUCGAUCAACGCAUCAGUAACCAUUCCGAAGACGAUCAUUUUUUAUUUCUAUGGAUCUACGCAUAUGUAAACAAUCCGAAGACGAUCACUUUCAUUUAUGUCGAUCUACGCAUCAGUAACCAAUCUGAAGACGAUCAUUUUUUAUAGAUAUACACAUCGGUAACCAAUCCGAAGAUGAUCAUUUUUUAUUUCUAUGGAUCUAUGCAUCGGUAAACAAUAUGAAGAUGAUCACUUUCAUUUAUGUCGAUCUACGCAUCGGUCACCAAUCUGAAGACGAUCAUUUAUUUUUAUUUUUAUGGAUCUAUGCAUCGGUAAACAAUAUGAAGACAAUUAUUUUCACUCAUGUCGAUCUAUACAUCGGUAAUCAAUCCGAAGACGAUUAUUUUGCACAUUUCAACAAAAUUUGCAUCAUUCCCACUUUAACAUUUCAGGGGCACUUUAAUACACGCGUUUGUUAUUGGACAAAAUUCAGGUCCUUAUAUUUACUUAUCUCUUACUUGAUAAUAUGAAAAUGAAAACCAUUGUUAUUCAUAUUUUCAUAUUUCAAGUAAAAUAUAAUUAAAUAAGGGCAGUUGUAGUACCCUAAUUUUGUCAAAUUUAUUACAAAUAAUUCAAAAACUAAUAAUAUCCAUUUUUAUUAUAAUAUAUCAAAUUUUUUUAUUUGUAUCUUCAUAAUCAUUAAUACAAAAAAGGAAAAUAUAUAUAUAAAAUAGGAAAUAAAAAUAAUAGAGUUAAAAUUAAAAUUACAAUAAAUAAACUCAUUAUGUCUCAUCAAUUUACAAUGCCAAAUCUAAUUAAAGUUUUAAAACCAAAUCAAAUUAAAAAUUAAAUUAAAAAUUAAGCCAAAUUAAUUUACAAUAAAAAUUAAGUCAAACUAAAUCAAAUCAAGGCAAUUGUUCCAGCCUGUUUUGCAUCUAUUUUGUUCUCUGCCCUUGCUCACUGUCAAACCUUACUCUGUUGAUGCCGACUGUUGUUGAUGCACAAGUCAUGCUCAUUGAUACAUUUGUACCUGUUCUAACUAAUUAGAGAAAUAGAAGAAAAAAAAUUAUAAGUCAACCAUUGUACAUAUUAUACAUAUCAAAUAGACAAACUUUUGAGUUUAAAAAGAAAACUAAAAGACAAAUUAAAGCUGCAAAUGAAAAAGCUCAACAAAUGAACAAAUCAAAACAAAUAAGCCAAAACCAUGAAUGCAUCAGAGGUGCAUAAAAAAACUCAGAUGAUGAGCAAACAAAAAGAAGCAUCAAACAAGGAACUGGAAAACUCAAACUCAAAUAGAGACAUAGACAAAGAAAGCAACUAAACAGAUAAAAGAACUAUAUAAAUACAUCUUCUUUAAAUUUCAUAAAGGAUCGGAGAUGAAUAUUAACAUGAAAAAUACCUAAAACGAAGAAGAAGAAAACAUAGUAAUAGCAAAGAAAAACAAACAUAAGAAGAAGAGUUAAGGUAAUUUUUUUUCUCUCUUUACAUUAUAAUUACUUUUUUUAUUUAUAUAUAUAUAUAUAUAAAUGCAAAGUUUCGAUUUAAAAUAGGAAAAACAAGAUAACAUUUUAAAUAAAUAAAAAAUUCAGAAAUCACAAACCUCCGACGAGUGUCAACGAUGCCGCCAAGCUCUACAAAUAGCAUUUGUAUCUAAUUUGGUACGUUACAUUUGAUCCAAUCUCGAUUAGGGAGAGAUGGAGGUCGCAAGAAGAGGAGACGACGACGUCGGCGCAUGCUACGACAUUGGUUAGGGUUCUUGGUUGCGGUCUUCAUCUAGGUCCUCCGUGUUGGUUGUGGUAUUCAUCUACGACCUAUAUGUCUGCUUCUUGCAUGACUUUUAUAUCUUUUCUUCUUUUUUUUUUUUCCAGUUGAUGCUUUAUGCGGCCGCCUCACUAGUUUGUAAUCUAGGGUUUAGUUUAGUUGGUGACCUAGGGUUUUUAUUACAUUUUUUAACCUAUUUUUUUUUAAGUUGG